Coccidioides immitis H538.4 is the source of this 87-nucleotide transfer RNA. It matches the Rfam family "tRNA". From Rfam's summary of the family: Transfer RNA (tRNA) molecules are approximately 80 nucleotides in length. Their secondary structure includes four short double-helical elements and three loops (D, anti-codon, and T loops). NCBI's taxonomy places the organism in Eukaryota, Fungi, Ascomycota, Eurotiomycetes, Onygenales, Onygenaceae. The record is from Rfam.
GGUUUCGUGGUCUAGGGGUUAUGACACCGGAUUUUGACUUCCAACACCAAACUUCCGGUUGCCUGGGUUCGAAUCCCAGCGAGACCU